This 481-nucleotide ribosomal RNA is filed under the name Phyllactinia fraxini. RNAcentral's name for it is "partial large subunit ribosomal RNA". It matches the Rfam family "Eukaryotic large subunit ribosomal RNA", at positions 1 to 476 of the family's 3401-position model. Lineage: Eukaryota; Fungi; Ascomycota; Leotiomycetes; Helotiales; Erysiphaceae. The record is from RNAcentral.
UUGACCUCGAAUCAGGUAGGGAUACCCGCUGAACUUAAGCAUAUCAAUAAGCGGAGGAAAAGAAACCAACCGGGAUUACCCUAGUAACGGCGAGUGAAGCGGUAACAGCUCAAAUUUGAAAUCUGGCUCCCUGCGGAGUCCGAGUUGUAAUUUGUAGAAGAUGCUUUGGGUGCUCGGCCCGGUCUAAGUUCCUUGGAACAGGACGUCGUAGAGGGUGAGAAUCCCGUAUGCGGCCGGGGUGGGUGCUCGUGUAAAGCUCUUUCGACGAGUCGAGUUGUUUGGGAAUGCAGCUCAAAAUGGGUGGUAAAUUUCAUCUAAAGCUAAAUAUGGGCCAGAGACCGAUAGCGCACAAGUAGAGUGAUCGAAAGAUGAAAAGCACUUUGGAAAGAGAGUUAAACAGUACGUGAAAUUGUUGAAAGGGAAGCGCUUGCAACCAGACUUGGGCGUCGCUGAUCAUCCAAAGUUUUCUUUGGUGCACUCG